AGCUACAUAUGAGGUGAAGAUGAAUUCCACACGCUUGUGUAUUUUUGGCUUGUAUCUGUUUUGUGUAAUGAGAAUAGGUUGUGGGCUUUUAUCAUGAAAUUUUCGACUUUUGCUUGUGGUUUCAAUGGCCUACAUCAGAUAGGUUCUUUAGAUGAUGCAUCUGUGUCAACUUGGUGUCGAAUAAAUGAUGCAUUGGAAUGUGAACCAUGUUUGUCACUUUCUUGGGAUUCUCUCAACAUAUGUGCUAAUGGGCAUGUCCAACGAAAUGGAAUUACUAUCAAAGCACCACCUGGAUGUGAACAAGAAACACCAAGCAUGCUGUGUUCUGCUGAAGAUCGGCUGGUGGCUCUGUAUCCUGAUGGCUCCACCUGGCUAAGGACAACUGCCUGGCGCCGACUAGCACUCCAGUCAGCUGGCCAGGAGACUGCUGAGCCUGCACGUCAUGUGGCUCACUGCUGACCCUGGACGGGGUACCGACACCGGCCGGUGAAUGGCUGCAGGCGGUCUCCUGCGGCCGAGAGCACGUGGUGCUGCUCACACGCUCCGGACGAGUGUUCACCUACGGUGGCGGCAGCCGAGGUCAGCUGGGGACCGGCGAGCUGAGCUCCUCGGACGUGCCUCAGCUGGUGACCGCCCUGGACGGACUCGCCAUCACCCAGGUGUGCGCCGGCGGAUGGCACACGGCAGCGCUGUCGAGCUCCGGUGACGUGUACACCUGGGGCUGGAACGAGUCCGGCCAGCUCGGGCUCGGAGACGCGGUGAACGUGGCUGCCGAGCCGGCGCUGGUGGACGCGCUUCCCAGUGACGUCACCGUCACUCAGCUGGCCUGCGGCUUGCGACACACGCUGGCGCUGCUCGAGGACGGCUCGGUGAUCGGCUGGGGUUGGAACGGUCAUAGUCAGCUGGCCCUGCCGCCCUGUGACCGGUCACUGCCCCGGGCCCUGCCGCUGCCGGAGCGAGGCACCGUAGUCAGGGUAGCCGCCGGUGGCUGGAACUCCGCUCUGGUAACCCGGGAGGACAGCUGAUGAGUCUUCGGUGACCGGUGCAGUGAAGUAGCGUGCUUUGUAAAAUUGAAAGAUAUUUCGGGGUGCGCCUAACCGGGCAUGAUGGCGAGCCCAAGGCGAUAAGGCGAGCCCUUUUAUGGCGUGCGUCAUAAAUUCGAAGUAUCCGGUACUAAAGCUGAUUUUGCCAGCGUGUAUCGUUUUCAGAUCGGGUAUUUGGUCGUGAUCACAGCACCUUGCCUCUGCUAUGUGAUGUGGGGAUUUGGGAGGGCUUUGUCAUAAAAUGGUGGGGUAUGCAAUGAAAUGUAUUUUGUUUGCUUGAUAAGGUUACUUUUUGCAGUGUUUUCUUAAGCUUUUAGUUAUGGAAGGCUUAGCUUUUCGAAUUUCGAAAGGGUUAGCAUAGUGUAAAUGUACGCUUACCGUCGAAUGUGAUGCUUUGACGACAGAAGGUGCAAAUGUGUUCAUGUCAUUUGUUAUCAUUUUUCGGAAAAGAUUGGUUAUGCGCAUUCAGAGUGUUCUGUUUUAGGUAAGUUUCACUCAAUAUGCAUGAGAGUUCUCAAGAGAAGGGAUUUCUCGAAUAAAUGCUGUUUUUGUUGAG
Molecule: unclassified non-coding RNA, 1599 nt
Filed under: Amphibalanus amphitrite
Lineage: Eukaryota; Metazoa; Arthropoda; Thecostraca; Balanomorpha; Balanidae
Description: rCC1 domain-containing protein 1-like, transcript variant X2
Source: RNAcentral